UUGWGAGAGCACUGAACAAUGGAUGRUUGUGAACGUGUCAACRUGCCCCUCUACUUGGCCCCAUUUUGGUGGCCGACUGACCAUAGCUCGGUGCGAUCGGCACCAAGGAACAAUGAACUCAGAAGCAGAKGGCCCUCGGUGUGCCCGGGGAGCCCACUGCGUCRGAGACGGUCGGAAU
RNAcentral lists this unclassified non-coding RNA (178 nucleotides) under Wurfbainia villosa. RNAcentral's name for it is "internal transcribed space 1". The record is from RNAcentral. Lineage: Eukaryota; Viridiplantae; Streptophyta; Magnoliopsida; Zingiberales; Zingiberaceae.